UAGCUGGGCUUGGGGCGGGGCCGAGACGGAGCGAGGGGUCCAGGGUGUGGGAAACGGGGAGGGGUUUGAGGAGGGGAUCGGAAUGUGGCUCAAGUUCGGGAGGCGUUACCUGCGGAGGGUUUGAGGCAGGCCCAGGAGCGAGCCCAUGGUCUUCCGACGCGGGGCCAGGGGCGGGGCCCAGGAUCCGGAGCUUCGUGCGGGGCCGAGUCCAGGUUUGGGGCCCGGGAGGCGGGGCCAGUUAGGGCGAGGGUCCCUGGGAUCGUCGGGUCAGGCCUUGGGCUAACGUAGGCACUCUCGCAGUUCCUCCGCCUUCAGGAAGGUCUUUUCAGCAGGGGCCUUACGGGUGCAUGCUUCGGUCCUGGAGGCCUUAUCCUAGCCUCCUCUCCAUCAGCGCCACCCGUCUGGGGCCCGAAAGGAGGGAGCUUUCCCUCUGUCCCCCAGCCUUUGGACUGUCACUAAACAAGCCAUUCGUUCAUCAAAUACUUUUUAAGCGCCUACCAUGUGCCUGACAAGGGAGAUGUAACGGUGAGAAAAACUAGGUGUGGUCCAGGCCCUUCAGGGGCUCAGGUGCUCGUGGAAGAAGUGGACAUUGAAGUACUUAUCACACAAAUGAGGAUAAAAGUACGAUAACGAUAUCUACCACGAAGCUGUUGUUCCCCACCAGAACCAAAUGAGCGCAAGAUCUGACAAAGAAAAAAAAAGCUGGGGAAACUGAGUUACAGAGCUUGUCUGCACUGAGUCAUCAGGAGCAAAUGCUAGAUCAGAUAGGGUCUCUCUCUCUGCCACCCAGGCCAGAGUGCAGUUGACGCAGGGCAGGGGAGCCCCGAAGUGGAGCAUAGUGUGUCCGGAACUGGUGGGUUCUUGGUCUCACUGACUUCAAGAAAGAAGCCGCGGACCCUCGCGAGACGGGGUCUUGCUCUGUUGCUCAAGCUGGA
This 935-nucleotide long non-coding RNA is filed under the name Homo sapiens (human). RNAcentral describes it as "HSALNT0345294". The record is from RNAcentral. Lineage: Eukaryota; Metazoa; Chordata; Mammalia; Primates; Hominidae.